GGAAUAUUGGACAAUGGGGGGAACCCUGAUCCAGCGACGCCGCGUGAGUGAAGAAGUAUUUCGGUAUGUAAAGCUCUAUCAGCAGGGAAGAAAGAAAUGACGGUACCUGACUAAUAAGCCCCGGCUAACUACGUGCCAGCAGCCGCGGUAAUACGUAGGGGGCAAGCGUUAUCCGGAUUUACUGGGUGUAAAGGGAGCGCAGGUGGCAUGGUAAGCCAGAAGUGAAAACCCAGGGCUCAACUCUGUGGAUUGCUUUUGGAACUAUCAAGCUAGAGUGCUGGAGGGGUAAGUGGAAUUCCUAGUGUAGCGGUGAAAUGCGUAGAUAUUAGGAGGAACACCAGUGGCGAAGGCGGCUUACUGGACUGUAACUGACGUUGAGGCUCGAAAGCGUGGGGAGCAAAC
Molecule: ribosomal RNA, 402 nt
Filed under: uncultured bacterium
Lineage: Bacteria
Description: bacterial SSU rRNA
Rfam family: Bacterial small subunit ribosomal RNA
Source: RNAcentral